GGCACAAGCGGUGGAUGAUGUGGAUUAAUUCGAUGCAACGCGAAGAACCUUACCUACCCUUGACAUGUCCGGAACUUGCCAGAGAUGGCUUGGUGCCCGAAAGGGAAUCGGAACACAGGUGCUGCAUGGCUGUCGUCAGCUCGUGUCGUGAGAUGUUGGGUUAAGUCCCGCAACGAGCGCAACCCUUAUCAUUAGUUGCUACGCAAGGGCACUCUAAUGAGACUGCCGGUGACAAACCGGAGGAAGGUGGGGAUGACGUCAAGUCCUCAUGGCCCUUAUGGGUAGGGCUUCACACGUCAUACAAUGGUCGGUACAGAGGGUUGCCAAGCCGCGAGGCGGAGCCAAUCCCACAAAGCCGAUCGUAGUCCGGAUUGUUCUCUGCAACUCGAGAGUAUGAAGUCGGAAUCGCUAGUAAUCGCAGGUCAGCAUACUGCGGUGAAUACGUUCCCGGGUCUU
RNAcentral lists this ribosomal RNA (456 nucleotides) under uncultured Thiobacillus sp. RNAcentral describes it as "bacterial SSU rRNA". It matches the Rfam family "Bacterial small subunit ribosomal RNA", at positions 922 to 1382 of the family's 1533-position model. Lineage: Bacteria; Pseudomonadati; Pseudomonadota; Betaproteobacteria; Nitrosomonadales; Thiobacillaceae. The record is from RNAcentral.